Molecule: long non-coding RNA, 225 nt
Filed under: Brassica napus (rape)
Lineage: Eukaryota; Viridiplantae; Streptophyta; Magnoliopsida; Brassicales; Brassicaceae
Description: long non-coding RNA (BNAP_LNC017949)
Source: RNAcentral
UUUGUUUAUUUGUUAUUCAAAACAAUAGUUGUACUUAAUUUUGUCACACUCCAAACAUAUUAACAUACCAAUUAAAAAUAAUUGCAGAAGAUAUUUUUCAUUAACUUAUAAUUCAUAAGUUUAUAACCAAUGUUUUAGUUUGAUGAUUCCAAAAAUUAAAUGAAACUAAACACCAAAUCAAAGCUGCCAAUCCAAAGUAAAUAAAAAAGAACACCAAAUUAAAAC